AAACAAGCACGUAGGUGUUUGUCUGUGACUUGCUCCAUUCAGGCCCUCUCCCGGUGCCAGAAAAGCCCUGCUUCCAGCUGCACAAUCAGUAUUAUCACAAUGUGCUAUUUUUGGCUCCUGAGUGCAUCUCUCUUGGCGUCAUCCUUCCCACUCCAGCCCUGGUACGAAGGGCACAAACUCUUCUUUCCCCUCCCUCGUCCUCCGCUGCCGCUCCCGUCUGCGCGGUGCCGCAGAGGGGUCUCCGGACGCUUCUCCCUGGUCCUUCUCAUUUUCCUGGGCAAGAGGCUUUCCAUCCAAAGCUUCAUGCAGGAGGCUUCAUGUUGGCAUCCAGAGUACAUGUCCCAAAUAUGUCCAGCCUCACUUUCUGAUCCUAGUGGCAAGGAGCCACAGACAGAUGACAGUAGCUGUCCUCCUUCCAUUCUGAGGAAAAGGCCACCUGUGGACCAAGCUGUGGGGGAAAAGCGGAGAGCAGAGAGAAGGGUUCGAUUUCGUGAGCCAGAAGAAGUCAUUGAACAUGCAGAUGACAGGACAUCAUCUGGAUUGCCUGUGCUCCUGUGGCUCUCGUUUUGUGGAGUGCUGAUUCUUGCUGUGAGCCUCUACUACACCAGCAUGAAGCAGGAUGUCAAAGUCCUGGAGGAAUUUCAAUCCCGACUUGUCAUCUUCUUCCUUCAUAUAAGACACGUUGCUCAGAGGUGCUGGACUUGGUUUUUGAGGCAGUAG
RNAcentral lists this long non-coding RNA (720 nucleotides) under Parus major (Great Tit). Its description in RNAcentral is "lncRNA (ENSPMJG00000000760.1)". The record is from RNAcentral. Lineage: Eukaryota; Metazoa; Chordata; Aves; Passeriformes; Paridae.